This 1587-nucleotide ribosomal RNA is filed under the name Triticum aestivum (bread wheat). Its description in RNAcentral is "partial small subunit ribosomal RNA". The record is from RNAcentral. Lineage: Eukaryota; Viridiplantae; Streptophyta; Magnoliopsida; Poales; Poaceae.
AUGCUCCAUGCUAAGGAGACACUGAGGAAGAUGUACUCAGUCGCCAAGGGCUACUACUGCGGGGGCCUAGCGGCGCCCAACACGUUUCCAGCAGCAUGGGAUCUAAGGCAUUCUCUCAACCCCUCAAGGAAAGCGCCGGGGUUUGUUAAUCCAUGCAGGGCCCGUUCAUAUGCGCACAUCGUGGGAAGCCCUGCCGACCAAGAGAUUGUGAUCGCUCUGGGAAGCAAUGUGGGGGAUAGGAUCAGUUCGUUCGACAGGGCGCUGCGGCUGAUGAAAGACUCGGGCAUAAAGAUCACCAGACACGCCUGUCUGUACGAGACCGCCCCUGAGUAUGUGACGGACCAGCCGCGGUUCCUCAACUCCGCUGUUCGGGGCACCACCAAGCUGGGGCCUCAUGAUCUGCUCAAGAAGCUGAAGGAGAUCGAGAGGGAUAUAGGGCGGACCGCCGGGAUAAGGUACGGCCCAAGGCCUAUCGAUCUGGAUAUUCUCCUGUAUGGCGACUCCCAGAUCAGUACCGAGACCCUGACUGUGCCACAUGAGCGCAUCCAUGAGAGACAAUUCGUUUUAGCGCCUCUUGUUGACCUUCUAGGGUCCUCGGCUGACGAUCAUAUGGAGAAAAGCUGGCACUCCCUUUCGAAGUGCAGCGGUGGGUUCUUUGAUGUGUGGAACGAGCUUGGUGGUGAAUCUUUAAUUGGGACACAAGGUAUCAAGAGGGUUAUGGCUGUUGGAAAUCGUCUGUUGGAUUGGAGUGAGAGGACCCUUGUCAUGGGGGUGCUUAACUUGACGCCGGACAGCUUUAGUGACGGAGGUAAGUUUCAAGAAGUGGAGGCUGCUGUUGCUCAGGCCAAGUUGUUGAUAUCAGAAGGCGCGGACAUAAUUGAUAUUGGUGCUCAAUCCACCAGGCCCUCUGCAACAAGACUAUCUGCAAGUGAAGAACUUGAGAGGCUGGUCCCUGUUCUGGAUGCAAUCGUCAAAAUCCCCGAGAUGGAAGGGAAGCUGAUCUCAGUAGACACAUUCUACGGACAAGUUGCUGCUGAAGCUGUAAAGAGAGGAGCCACCAUGAUUAAUGAUGUGUCUGGCGGACAGCUUGACCCAAGUAUUCUUGAAGUUGUAGCUGAACUUGGAGUUCCAUAUGUUACCAUGCACAUGAGAGGUGAUCCAUCAACUAUGCAGAGUGAACAGAAUUUACAGUAUGAUGAUGUCUGCAAAGAAGUUGCUUCUGAGUUAUACACACGGUUAAGAGAAGCAGAGUUGUCUGGAAUUCCUUUGUGGAGGAUAGUUCUUGAUCCUGGCAUUGGGUUUUCCAAGAAACUCAGACAUAAUCUUGAAAUAAUCAAGGGCUUGGGAUCCAUUAGAAAAGAGAUGGGUAAAGUGAGUUUAGGUGCUUCACAUGUGCCAAUAUUACUUGGACUCUCAAGAAAAAGUUUCUUAGGUGAAAUAUGCAAUCGUGCCGAUCCAGUUGAGAGAGAUGCAGCUACAGUUGCUGCUAAUGCAGCUGGGAUUAGGAAUGGUGCUAACAUAUUAAGGGUUCAUAAUGUUGGAUAUGGCGUGGAUGCUGCAAAAGUCUCUGAUGCAUUGCGCAUGUAA